Molecule: ribosomal RNA, 2773 nt
Filed under: Melita plumulosa
Lineage: Eukaryota; Metazoa; Arthropoda; Malacostraca; Amphipoda; Melitidae
Description: eukaryotic LSU rRNA
Rfam family: Eukaryotic large subunit ribosomal RNA
Source: RNAcentral
UUUUGUUUGUAUAGACAUAUUCAAUUCAAAAUAUCAAUGUUCAUAAAAGGUUACCCGCUGAAUUUAAGCAUAUUAUUAAGCGGAGACAAGAGAAAAUAACAAUGAUUCCUUUAGUAACGGCGAGUGAAAAAGGAUAAUCUCGAAGGUGAAGGGAAAUCCCGGUGUACCUUAUGUACGUUUUGUGUGACACUGAUUGUUGUGUUGAAUCAUGCAAGAAAUCCCGUGAAACUCGGAGAUCAAUGUUGAUGGCAAAAACGUAUUGUAUUAAGAGUAACUCUGCUUGAGAAUGCAGAGCGAAUGCAUGGUAAUUCACAUGCAAAGAUAAAAAUUUUUGGAGGUCGAUAGUGAACAAGUACCGCGAGGGAAAUUUGAAAAGUUAGCUUAACAGCAGUUGAAAAAGCACUUGAAAUUGUAUGAAGGGAAGUUUAGAAUACAAUUUUGAAGCGAUUAAUUUUAGUCGCAAUAUUACAUUGUAAUUCUAUCCCCCGUCUUGGAACACGGACCAAGGAGUUGAUUUUGAUAUCGAUUCGAUGGUUAAUGGAAAAUACCAACGGAGUAGAGAAGUCGAAUGUUUAAGAUGUUAGGAUCAAAUCCGAAAGGUGGUGAACUACGCUUGAGUUGAUUGAAGCCGGGGGAAAUCUCGGUGGAGGAUCUAACUGGUGCUGACGUGCAACUCGCUCAGGAAACUUGGGUGUAGGGGCGAAAGACUAAUCGAACCACCUAGUAGCUGGUUUCUUUCGAAGUUUCCCUUAGGAUAGCAGUUUACUAUAAGUAGUUACAUGCGGUAAAGCAAAUGAUUAGUUGGUUUGGAUGAUUCUGUCGUCCAAUCCGCAUUCUCAAACUCUGAACGUGUGUAAAAUACGAUGGUGAGCUAGUGGGUCAUUGCUGGUAAGCAGGACUGACGAAGAGGGAUGAACCUAUAUAUUUCAUAAGGCGCAAAAUUGCAGAGAGAUCAGGUACCACAAAGGUGGUUGACUCAUUUUGACAGUAGGACGGUGGCCAUGGAAGUCGGAAUCCGCUAAGGAGUGUGUAACAACUCACCUACCGAAUGAAUCAGCGCCGAAAAUGGAUUGCACUGCACUCUGCAGCCGAGUGGAAUUUUCGAACGUUAAAGAAAUGAUCGAAUGUAGGAAGAUAACGUUAUUGAAUUGAAGAUCGUACGCAAGUGUGAUCAGAUCGAUAAUGCGAGCAGAUCUUGGUAGUAGUAGCAGUUACUUAAGUUUUAUCCUUAAGGACCGUUGAGGGGAAGGUUUUCUCGUGAACAUUGCAGGUACGAGGGUUAAUCGGAAGUUAAGAAUAAAUCGUAAUAGAUGAGUUCGAAAACGUGUGAGAUUUAUAUUUCGCAAUUAUAUUUGUUGUAAUUUAUUUUCGGUAACGAAAAGGAAAUAUGUAAAAUUUAUGUAAAACUUUGGCGGACAGUCGAUCUGCCUUAACGAGUGAUAUCCAAUGGAUUAGGUCAUCUAGAGAUGUUGGAAGUAUUCUCGGAAUAGCUGUGUAUUUUCAUAGUAAAGUUUGAACGUAGAUUCCAUGAAAUGCAUAUUUUGCAGUAACAAAUGUAGCCGUACCGACAACCGCAUCAGGUCCCUUGAGUGAGAAGCUUAUGGUUAGUAGAGGAAAGUAGGCAAAGGAAGUCGGCAAACUAAAUCUGCAACUUCGGGAAAAGGAUUGGCUCUGGUGGCUUGAUUUUAACUAAUAUUAAAUGGGCUUUGAAUUUAUUCGAAGUUUCUGUUUUUUAAUGGUUUGAUCAAUUAUAUUCCACGCCAGAACUGGUGCAAACGGGUGAACCCGACUGCUUACUUAAAGCAAAGCAAUGUGAUACUGACAAAAUCUGAUUAACGCAUUGUGAUUUCUGCUCAGUGCUUAUUUUGUUAUCUUCGUUGAAAGACGAAUAAGCGCGGGUAAACAGCGGGAGUAACUAUGACUCUCUUAAGGUAGCCAAAUGCCUCGUCAUCUAAUUAGUGACGCGCAUGAAUGGAUCAAUGAGGUUCGUGCUGUCUCUGCCUGCUAUUUAGCGAACCUACAGCCAAGGGAACGGGCUUGGAAAUUUCAGCGGGGCAAGAAGACCCUCUUGAGCUUGACUCUAACUUGAUGUUGAUAGCUAACUAUCGAGGUGUAGCCUAGGUGGGAGAUAUAUCAUCCUUGAAAUACCACCACUCGAUUCGUUAUCUGUCUUAUUUGGUUAUUAAAAUAAUCAUUUGCGUUUAUCAUUUUCCAAAGACACCGUCAGGUGGGGAGUUUGGCUGGGGCGGCACAUCCGUUAGAAGAUAACGCUGAUGUACAAAGAGGAACUCAGUAAGGACAGAAACCUUACGUUGACGAAAAGGCGAAAAGUUCCUUUAAGUGAGAUUUUCAGUAAAAAUAUCACGUGAGAAAUCAUGGCCUAUCGAUCCCUUCUUUCUUGUUGAAUUCAAAAGAGGGGUGUCAGAAAAGUUACCACAGGGAUAACUGGCUUGUGGCAGCCAAGCGUUCAUAGCGACGUUGCUUUUUGAUUCUUCGAUGUCGGCUCUUCCUAUCAUUGAGGUGUAGAAGUCUCAAAGUGUUGGAUUGUUCACCCACAAACAGGGAACGUGAGCUGGGUUUAGACCGUCGUGAGACAGGUUAGUUUUACCCUACUGUUUUGUAUCAAGUUUUAAGAGUAAUCAUUGUUAGUACGAGAGGAACACUUUGUUCAGACUGUUGGUGUGGAGUGGGGGGAACACCUCAGCUCCAAAGCUACGUCUGUAACGGGAAGAACUGAAAGCCUCUAAGUUUGGACCGAAGCUCGAUAAAUUUU